Molecule: long non-coding RNA, 224 nt
Organism: Oncorhynchus keta (chum salmon)
Lineage: Eukaryota; Metazoa; Chordata; Actinopteri; Salmoniformes; Salmonidae
Exons: 3
Source: RefSeq, a predicted model, not a curated record
CCCUGGUGGGUAUCAGAGGGUCAGUAGGUCGCCCCUGGUGGGUAUCAGAGGGUCAGCAGGUCGUCCCUGGUGGGUAUCAGAGGGUCAGUAGGUCGUCCCUGGUGGGUAUCAGAGGGUCAGUAGGUCGUCCCUGGUGGGUAUCAGAGGGUCAGUAGGUCGUCCCUGGUGGGUAUCAGAGGGUCAGUAGGUCGUCCCUGGUGGGUAUCAGAGGGUCAGUAGGUCUG